UGCGGAGGGAUAUUUUACAAAU
This 22-nucleotide ribosomal RNA is filed under the name Alternaria sp. 2 DLB-2010. RNAcentral describes it as "partial 18S ribosomal RNA". Lineage: Eukaryota; Fungi; Ascomycota; Dothideomycetes; Pleosporales; Pleosporaceae. The record is from RNAcentral.